ACGUACACUCCUGCGGGAGGCGGCAGUGGGGAAUAUUGGACAAUGGGCGCAAGCCUGAUCCAGCCAUGCCGCGUGAGUGAUGAAGGCCCUAGGGUUGUAAAGCUCUUUCACCGGUGAAGAUAAUGACGGUAACCGGAGAAGAAGCCCCGGCUAACUUCGUGCCAGCAGCCGCGGUAAUACGAAGGGGGCUAGCGUUGUUCGGAUUUACUGGGCGUAAAGCGCACGUAGGCGGAUUAUUAAGUCAGGGGUGAAAUCCCGGGGCUCAACCCCGGAACUGCCUUUGAUACUGGUAGUCUUGAGUUCGAGAGAGGUGAGUGGAAUUCCGAGUGUAGAGGUGAAAUUCGUAGAUAUUCGGAGGAACACCAGUGGCGAAGGCGGCUCACUGGCUCGAUACUGACGCUGAGGUGCGAAAGCGUGGGGAGCAAACAGGAUUAGAAACCCGGGUAGUCCCAUGAU
This 456-nucleotide ribosomal RNA is filed under the name uncultured organism. RNAcentral describes it as "partial 16S ribosomal RNA". It matches the Rfam family "Bacterial small subunit ribosomal RNA", at positions 329 to 801 of the family's 1533-position model. The record is from RNAcentral.